RNAcentral lists this small nuclear RNA (185 nucleotides) under Helianthus annuus (common sunflower). RNAcentral's name for it is "U2 spliceosomal RNA". It matches the Rfam family "U2 spliceosomal RNA". From Rfam's summary of the family: U2 is a small nuclear RNA (snRNA) component of the spliceosome (involved in pre-mRNA splicing). Complementary binding between U2 snRNA (in an area lying towards the 5' end but 3' to hairpin I) and the branchpoint sequence (BPS) of the intron results the bulging out of an unpaired adenosine, on the BPS, which initiates a nucleophilic attack at the intronic 5' splice site, thus starting the first of two transesterification reactions that mediate splicing. The record is from RNAcentral. Lineage: Eukaryota; Viridiplantae; Streptophyta; Magnoliopsida; Asterales; Asteraceae.
AUACCAUUCUCGGCCUUUAGGCUAAAGAUCAAGACAUCAAGUGUAGUAUCUGUUCUUACAAGUUUAAUAUUUGAUGGGCCAUCGGCCCACUUGAUAUUAAUCUUAUUUUUAACAGGGCCAUCACAAUAGCUUGCUAUUUAUUGGGCCCUUUGAGUACUAUUGCCUUGGCCUGGUGCACCCCUCCA